AGACGUGCGCGCAAGGGCGGGCGCCCGCGGGCGAGCAGCGUGACGCAGCGACGGCCCGCCCGGGCUUCCGGGGCAUCACCCGGUCGGCGCGGUCGCGGCGCGCCGAGGGCCCGACGCCUGGCGGAGAAUCAGGGUUCGACUCCGGAGAGCGGGCCUGAGAGACGGCCCGCACAUCCAAGGACGGCAGCAGGCGCGGAACUUGCCCAAUGCGCGGCGCGCGAGGCAGCGACGGGGAGUGCGCGAGCGAGGCGGGCCCACAGCCCCCGCCGCGGAGCC
Molecule: ribosomal RNA, 276 nt
Filed under: Giardia duodenalis
Lineage: Eukaryota; Fornicata; Diplomonadida; Hexamitidae
Description: Giardia intestinalis partial small subunit ribosomal RNA
Rfam family: Eukaryotic small subunit ribosomal RNA (bases 1-229)
Source: RNAcentral